CAGAUUGAUGCUCGCUGGUUGGAGCACUUAGCUGUUAACUAAGUUUUCGCAGGAUCAAGGCCUGCCGGUCUAG
This 73-nucleotide transfer RNA is filed under the name Limnichthys fasciatus (barred sand burrower). Its description in RNAcentral is "tRNA-Asn". Lineage: Eukaryota; Metazoa; Chordata; Actinopteri; Acropomatiformes; Creediidae. The record is from RNAcentral.